AGCUUUGCACAGUGGCAGUAUCGUAGCCAAUGAGGUUUAUUGGAGGUGCGAUUAUUGCUAAUUGAAAGAAAAUAAU
Molecule: small nuclear RNA, 76 nt
Filed under: Otolemur garnettii (small-eared galago)
Lineage: Eukaryota; Metazoa; Chordata; Mammalia; Primates; Galagidae
Description: U4 spliceosomal RNA
Rfam family: U4 spliceosomal RNA
About the family: U4 small nuclear RNA (U4 snRNA) is a component of the major U2-dependent spliceosome. The structure of U4 snRNA from yeast and human has been reported.
Source: Rfam by way of RNAcentral